GAACAAGUUACUAAGGGCAUACGGUGGAUGCCUUGGCGUCGGACGGCGAUGAAAGACGUGGUAGGCUGCGAUAAGCCUCGGGGAGCCGUCAAGCAGGCUUUGAUCCGGGGAUUUCUGAAUGGGGAAACCCGCAUGAAGUAAUGUUCAUGCAUGGCUGGAUGAAUUCAUAGUCCAGUACAGGCUAACGGGGGGAAGUGAAACAUCUCAGUACCCCCAGGAAGAGAAAGCAAGCGCGAUUCCCUCAGUAGCGGCGAGCGAACAGGGAUAAGCCCAAACCUCUGUGGUGCAAGCGUGCAGGCGUUGCCACAGGGGGGUCGUGGGAUUCCGUUGGAGGAAGCUGCAAAUUCCUCGGGAAGUUACCAAGCUGAUUUAUAGCAGAAGGAGUUGGGAAACUCCGCCACAGAGAGUGAAAGCCUCGUAAGCGAAAUGGAUCAGCCUUCCUGAAUGGAACACCCAAGUACGGCGGGACACGUGAAACCCCGCUGGAAUUUGCGAGGACCAUCUCGCAAGGCUAAAUACGUGCCGACGACCGAUAGCGAACCAGUACCGUGAGGGAAAGGUGAAAAGUACCCCGUUUAGGGGAGUGAAAUAGUACCUGAAACCGUAUGCUUACAAGCAGUGGGAGGACGUUCAUAGUUUACUAUGAGUCUGACCGCGUGCCUUUUGCAUAAUGAGUCUGCGAGUUACUUUAUGUGGCGAGGUUAAGCCGUUAGGUGUAGCCGUAGGGAAACCGAGUCUUAAAUGGGCGAAUUAGUCGCGUGAAGUAGACCCGAAGCCAAGUGAUCUAUCCAUGGCCAGGUUGAAGCUCCGGUAACACGGAAUGGAGGACCGAACCAGUAUGGGUUGAAAACCGUUUGGAUGAGCUGUGGAUUGGAGUGAAAGGCUAAUCAAACUUGGUGAUAGCUGGUUCUCCCCGAAAUAUAUUUAGGUAUAGCCUCGGGUGAUGAGUGGCGGGGGUAGAGCACUGAAUGAGCUAGGGCUCCUAACAGAGUACCAAACUCAAUCAAACUUCGAAUACCGCCAACUUUAGCCCGGGAGUCAGGCUGCGGGAGAUAAGUUCCGUAGGCAAAAGGGAAACAACCCAGAUCGCCGGUUAAGGCCCCUAAGUGCGCGCUAAGUGGAAAAGGAUGUGGGAAUGCACAGACAGCCAGGAUGUUGGCUUAGAAGCAGCCAUCAUUUAAAGAAAGCGUAAUAGCUCACUGGUCAAGUGAUCCUGCGCCGAAAAUGUAACGGGGCUUAAGCGCGCCGCCGAAACCGCGAGAUGUUUAUACAUCGGUAGGGGAGUAUUCUGUACAGGGAUGAAGCUGGACCGUGAGGACCAGUGGACCUAUCAGAAGAGCAUAUGCAGACAUGAGUAGCGACAAAGCGGGUGAGAAACCCGCUCGCCGGAAGCCUAAGGUUUCCUGAGUAAAGCUAAUCUUCUCAGGGUUAGUCGGUCCCUAAGCCCAGGCCGAAAGGCGUAGGCGAUGGGAAGCGGGUUAAUAUUCCCGCACCACCAGUCCACCGUUAUUACCGACGGGGGGACGCAGAAGGAUAGGUCAGCCUGGAGAGGGCCGCAAGGCGCCAGGUGUAAGCAGGUAGGCUGGAGAGACAGGCAAAUCCGUUUCUCCUUAAAGCUGAGAUGUGAAUACGAGAGGCUUGCCUCAUAAAGUGAUUGAGUCCAUACUGCCAAGAAAAGCCUCUAGGGAGGGGGAUUGGUGACCGUACCGCAAACCGACACAGGUAGGCAGGGUGAGUAACCCAAGGCGCUUGAGAGAACUUCGGCUAAGGAACUCGGCAAAAUUAUACCGUAACUUCGGGAGAAGGUAUGCCCUUUUUCGUCAUGAGCUUCGCGCUCGGCAGCGAAGGAGGGCCGCAGAGAAAUGGGGAUAGCGACUGUUUACUAAAAACACAGGACUCUGCUAAGUCGCAAGACGACGUAUAGGGUCUGACGCCUGCCCGGUGCUGGAAGGUUAAGGGGAGAGGUUAUCGCAAGAGAAGCCUUGAACCGAAGCCCCAGUAAACGGCGGCCGUAACUAUAACGGUCCUAAGGUAGCGAAAUUCCUUGUCGGGUAAGUUCCGACCUGCACGAAUGGCGUAACGACUUUCCCACUGUCUCAGCCGGAGACUCAGCGAAAUUGUAGUGGCGGUGAAGAUACCGUCUACCCGCAGCAAGACGGAAAGACCCCGUGCACCUUUACUAUAGCUUGACAUUGGUUUUAGGGCUAUCAUGUGUAGGAUAGGUGGGAGGCUUUGAAGCCGGGACGCUAGUUUCGGUGGAGCCACCCUUGAAAUACCACCCUUGAUAUCUUUGGAAUCUAACCUUGACCCGUGAUCCGGGCCGGGGACAGUGUCUGGUGGGUAGUUUGACUGGGGCGGUCGCCUCCUAAAGAGUAACGGAGGCGCGCGAAGGUUCCCUCAGGCUGAUUGGAAACCAGCCGCAGAGCGUAAAGGCAUAAGGGAGCUUGACUGCGAGACUGACAAGUCGAGCAGGUACGAAAGUAGGUCUUAGUGAUCCGGUGGUCCCGCAUGGAAGGGCCAUCGCUCAACGGAUAAAAGGUACGCCGGGGAUAACAGGCUUAUCUCCCCCAAGAGUUCACAUCGACGGGGAGGUUUGGCACCUCGAUGUCGGCUCAUCGCAUCCUGGGGCUGGAGUUGGUCCCAAGGGUAUGGCUGUUCGCCAUUUAAAGCGGUACGUGAGCUGGGUUUAAAACGUCGUGAGACAGUUUGGUCCCUAUCUGCUGUGGGCGCAGGAUAUUUGAGGAGAUCUGUUCCUAGUACGAGAGGACCGGAAUGGACGAACCACUAGUGUUCCAGUUGUUUCGCCAGAAGCACCGCUGGGUAGCUAUGUUCGGAACGGAUAACCGCUGAAAGCAUCUAAGCGGGAAGCCAACUCCAAGAUUAGAUAUCCCUCCUCUUUAUGAGGCUGAAGGACCCUUGAAGACCACAAGGUUGAUAGGCUGGAGGUGUAAGCGCAGUAAUGUGUUUAGCUUACCAGUACUAAUAGUCCGUGAGACUUGUUCUU
RNAcentral lists this ribosomal RNA (3004 nucleotides) under Desulfarculales bacterium. RNAcentral describes it as "23S ribosomal RNA". It matches the Rfam family "Bacterial large subunit ribosomal RNA". Lineage: Bacteria; Pseudomonadati; Thermodesulfobacteriota; Desulfarculia; Desulfarculales. The record is from RNAcentral.